UUAACAUGAUGGACUAUAGGACAGGACUGCUGCUUUUAACUCUCUGCUGGGCAGGUGUUGAUGGUUGGACUCUGACAGAAUCUGAACCAGUGGUUAAAAGACCUGGAGAAUCCCACACACUGACCUGUACAGUCUCUGGAUUCACAUUCAGCGACUACAGCAUGCACUGGGUCAGACAGGCUCCUGGAAAAGGACUGGAGUGGGUUGCUUACAUCAGAUAUGAUUUUAGUGGCACCACAUUCUACUCUCAGUCAGUCCAAGGCCGGUUUACCAUCUCCAGAGAUGACAGCAGACAGCAGCUGUAUCUGCAGAUGAACAGUCUGAAGACUGAAGAUUCUGCUGUUUAUUAUUGUGCUCGAGAGUCACAGUGA
Lates calcarifer (barramundi perch) is the source of this 371-nucleotide non-coding RNA. The record is from the annotation of a RefSeq genome assembly. Lineage: Eukaryota; Metazoa; Chordata; Actinopteri; Centropomidae.